GCUGGCGUAGCUUAAGGUGGCAAAGCCCCUCCUUGGUAUGGAGGUAGACGCGGGUUCGAAGCCUGCCGCCAGCCCCA
RNAcentral lists this transfer RNA (77 nucleotides) under Candidatus Sulfopaludibacter sp. SbA4. Its description in RNAcentral is "tRNA-Thr". It matches the Rfam family "tRNA". Rfam says of the family: Transfer RNA (tRNA) molecules are approximately 80 nucleotides in length. Their secondary structure includes four short double-helical elements and three loops (D, anti-codon, and T loops). Lineage: Bacteria; Pseudomonadati; Acidobacteriota; Terriglobia; Bryobacterales; Solibacteraceae. The record is from RNAcentral.